RNAcentral lists this ribosomal RNA (1037 nucleotides) under Ochraceocephala foeniculi. RNAcentral describes it as "SSU rRNA". It matches the Rfam family "Eukaryotic small subunit ribosomal RNA", at positions 74 to 1121 of the family's 1831-position model. Lineage: Eukaryota; Fungi; Ascomycota; Dothideomycetes; Pleosporales; Leptosphaeriaceae. The record is from RNAcentral.
UUAUACCGUGAAACUGCGAAUGGCUCAUUAAAUCAGUUAUCGUUUAUUUGAUAGUACCUUACUACUUGGAUAACCGUGGUAAUUCUAGAGCUAAUACAUGCUAAAAACCCCGACUUCGGAAGGGGUGUAUUUAUUAGAUAAAAAACCAACGCCCUUCGGGGCUUCUUGGUGAUUCAUGAUAACUUUACGGAUCGCAUGGCCUUGCGCCGGCGACGGUUCAUUCAAAUUUCUGCCCUAUCAACUUUCGAUGGUAAGGUAUUGGCUUACCAUGGUUUCAACGGGUAACGGGGAAUUAGGGUUCGAUUCCGGAGAGGGAGCCUGAGAAACGGCUACCACAUCCAAGGAAGGCAGCAGGCGCGCAAAUUACCCAAUCCCGACACGGGGAGGUAGUGACAAUAAAUACUGAUACAGGGCUCUUUUGGGUCUUGUAAUUGGAAUGAGUACAAUUUAAACCUCUUAACGAGGAACAAUUGGAGGGCAAGUCUGGUGCCAGCAGCCGCGGUAAUUCCAGCUCCAAUAGCGUAUAUUAAAGUUGUUGCAGUUAAAAAGCUCGUAGUUGAAACUUGGGUCUGGCUGGCAGGUCCGCCUCACCGCGUGUACUUGUCCGGCCGGGCCUUCCUUCUGGAGAACCUCAUGCCCUUCACUGGGCGUGUUGGGGACCAGGACUUUUACUUUGAAAAAAUUAGAGUGUUCAAAGCAGGCCUUUGCUCGAAUACGUUAGCAUGGAAUAAUAGAAUAGGACGUGCGGUCCUAUUUUGUUGGUUUCUAGGACCGCCGUAAUGAUUAAUAGGGACAGUCGGGGGCAUCAGUAUUCAAUUGUCAGAGGUGAAAUUCUUGGAUUUAUUGAAGACUAACUACUGCGAAAGCAUUUGCCAAGGAUGUUUUCAUUAAUCAGUGAACGAAAGUUAGGGGAUCGAAGACGAUCAGAUACCGUCGUAGUCUUAACCGUAAACUAUGCCGACUAGGGAUCGGGCGAUGUUCUUUUUCUGACUCGCUCGGCACCUUACGAGAAAUCAAAGUUUUUGGGUUCUGGGGGG